RNAcentral lists this ribosomal RNA (398 nucleotides) under uncultured bacterium. RNAcentral describes it as "bacterial SSU rRNA". It matches the Rfam family "Bacterial small subunit ribosomal RNA", at positions 358 to 773 of the family's 1533-position model. The record is from RNAcentral.
GGAAUCUUAGACAAUGGGGGAAACCCUGCUCUAGCCAUGCCGCGUGAUCGAUGAAGGCCUUAGGGUUGUAAAGAUCUUUCAGUGGGGAAGAUAAUGACGGUACCCACAGAAGAAGCCCCGGCUAACCCCGUGCCAGCAGCCGCGGUAAUACGGAGGGGGCUAGCGUUGUUCGGAAUUACUGGGCGUAAAGCGCGCGUAGGCGGAUGUUCAAGUCGGGGGUGAAAUCCCGGGGCUCAACCCCGGAACUGCCUCCGAUACUGGACGUCUCGAGGACGGGAGAGGCGAGUGGAAUGCCGAGUGUAGAGGUGAAAUUCGUAGAUAUUCGGCGGAACACCCGUGGCGAAGGCGGCUCGCUGGUCCGUUUCUGACGCUGAGGCGCGAAAGCGUGGGGAGCAAAC